GACGAACGCUGGCGGCGUGCUUAACACAUGCAAGUCGAACGGAAAGGCCCUGCUUUUGUGGGGUGCUCGAGUGGCGAACGGGUGAGUAACACGUGAGUAACCUGCCCUUGACUUUGGGAUAACUUCAGGAAACUGGGGCUAAUACCGGAUAGGAGCUCCUGCUGCAUGGUGGGGGUUGGAAAUUUUCGGCGGUUGGGGAUGGACUCGCGGCUUAUCAGCUUGUUGGUGGGGUAGUGGCUUACCAAGGCUUUGACGGGUAGCCGGCCUGAGAGGGUGACCGGCCACAUUGGGACUGAGAUACGGCCCAGACUCCUACGGGAGGCAGCAGUGGGGAAUAUUGCCCAAUGGGCGGAAGCCUGAUGCAGCAACGCCGCGUGCGGGAUGACGGCCUUCGGGUUGUAAACCGCUUUCGCCUGUGACGAAGCGUGAGUGACGGUAAUGGGUAAAGAAGCACCGGCUAACUACGUG
RNAcentral lists this ribosomal RNA (468 nucleotides) under uncultured bacterium. Its description in RNAcentral is "partial 16S ribosomal RNA". It matches the Rfam family "Bacterial small subunit ribosomal RNA", at positions 28 to 507 of the family's 1533-position model. The record is from RNAcentral.